GCCUGGAUAGCUCAGUCGGGAGAGCAUGAGACUCUUGAUCCCAGGGUCAUGACUUCUAGUCCCAUGUUGGGCA
RNAcentral lists this transfer RNA (73 nucleotides) under Canis lupus familiaris (dog). It matches the Rfam family "tRNA". Rfam says of the family: Transfer RNA (tRNA) molecules are approximately 80 nucleotides in length. Their secondary structure includes four short double-helical elements and three loops (D, anti-codon, and T loops). Lineage: Eukaryota; Metazoa; Chordata; Mammalia; Carnivora; Canidae. RNAcentral also lists the same sequence under 1 other name. The record is from Rfam by way of RNAcentral.